GUCUCUGUCCCAUUCCCAUUUCAUUUUCAGAUCUCAAAGUCUCUUUCUCCCCGCCGCGACUUCCUUUCUGCUUCCUCAGUCUCUCUCUCUCUCCCUCUCCUUCCUCUCUUCCUCCAAAUCACUCUCUCUAGUCUUCUCUUGUCUUCCUCGUGGUUUUUUUUUCUCCAAACAAUGAUUUUCCCUCGCCCCUUUCGAGACCCGACGAAAAGAGGAAUUGUAAGAGCUUGCGACGAUCACUGCGAUAUCGCUGCAGCAAAGGGGUUGUUAAAAGCAGGAAAUCAUGAUUGGAUAUCGCGAUUCAUGGUCUUCACCUCUGGUGUUUGUUGGAUUGCUGGUACAUGGUCGCUGGAGCUUGCUUCGACGGCGGCAAGGGAACUUAGCAGCUAGGGUUUUCCGUUUUUUUCUUUCUUUUUCGGGCUCAACCCUUGGGUUGGGUUGUUGUUCUGGCCCAUUUUUUUGUUUGUGUUUAGUUGUGGGCUUUUAUAUGUAUGUAAGUUUAAUGAAAGUUUACAUUUUAUUAAAAAAAAAAAACCGAACCGGACUGAAACCGAA
Molecule: non-coding RNA, 552 nt
Organism: Malus domestica (apple)
Lineage: Eukaryota; Viridiplantae; Streptophyta; Magnoliopsida; Rosales; Rosaceae
Source: RefSeq, a predicted model, not a curated record